Molecule: long non-coding RNA, 149 nt
Organism: Prionailurus viverrinus (fishing cat)
Lineage: Eukaryota; Metazoa; Chordata; Mammalia; Carnivora; Felidae
Exons: 3
Source: RefSeq, a predicted model, not a curated record
GCCCCCUUCCCUUGUGGCUGGUGCAAAUCUAGUGUUUGGAAGGUCAGCACAGAGGCACUCAGGACGAAGAUGGAGAAGAUAAAAACUGUUUUCCCUGCUUCAUUUUUCCUAACCCACCAGAUUUCCGGAGUGGUGUCAGGGUAACCGAU